UUAAAUCUUUAUUGGAUUCAGACACAAGACUUGAUUCUGCAUAGAGACGGCCCUCCCAUGAGAGAGGGCCGAAGCACGUCUCACUUCCACAGGUUUAAGGGUUGAAGGCCUAGGAGACCAUUCGUUAAUGAUCCCUCCGCAGGUUCACCUACGGAGA
RNAcentral lists this unclassified non-coding RNA (157 nucleotides) under uncultured fungus. RNAcentral's name for it is "sequence contains ITS1". Lineage: Eukaryota; Fungi. The record is from RNAcentral.